CGAGAGCUGUUGUCAAAAAGUGGAUUUUAAAAAGCUCUAAAAAACUGUAAAUCAAACGCAAACUGCACGGCUGGAUGUGUGUGUGUGUGUGUGUUACAGUAGAAGCACAGUGCAGGGAGGCUGGGUGAAGCCCAGCAUGGCGGGUGUAAAGAUGCUGCUAGUUGAUGGAAACGUGCAUGAUAACAAAAGACGGUAGGAGGGAUGGUGGAGGGGCGAUAUUAUUUCGCGUAAGUCGCAGAAGCAGAAGCAGAAGGUUGCAGAGUGCGUGCAGGACGCCUGGGUGGAAACAAAGGAAAAGCGAGCAUGCGAUGCUGGUGGACACAAUGCAUCCCAGGAAGCGCGCAGGGCACCUACCUUAAGGACUUUUAUGUGGGCAUCUUCUCGAUGAUCCCCGACAGGCUGUGAUGUCUCCUCUGCAUCAGCAGCAAAGCCUCCUCAUGUCGGGCAGCACAACGAGCGCCAGACGCGAAGCGGAACCCGAAAACGGGAUUCUAGCGCGAUCCGGUGAGCGCGGUGAAGCUUUCCUCCCGGUCCUCCGCCAUCCCGCUGUGUUUUGGAGAGGAGGACGAGGAGGCGAGGAGAAAGGAUGCUCUCGGGCUGAGGCAGCGAGCAGGAUCCUUCGUUCCUGCUGUCUACGGAAGCCCGGAUGCGCCAAAAAAAAGAAGGCAAUUUUAUUUUGGUUCCUUGCUCAGAUGUUGAUUUUUUUUAUAUAAGCUCAUUUCUGACCGCGAAAUCCUCACACGAAACAAACGGGGAAUUAUUGUUCUUUUAAAACACAUUGUUUUUUUUAUCGCACUCUCGUUUUAAAAAUGUGUCGUUUGUGGUUUCUUUCUUAUACCAAAGUAGGCGAGUGAUUGAUCACUAGUCUCAAUAAAUACAGUAUUAGUCUUCUCUAUUGGUUUAUAAUAGUGCCCCAUAGAGAGUAUGGUAUUAAUUCACAUGUGUAUACAAAUAAUUGCAUUAAUAUUUGACUUUAAAUAAAAAGGAAAGGCCAAUACAGUGACAUCUGAAUAUAGAACGUUUCGGUUGGGUUCAUUUUUAUUAUUAUUAAAGGGUUAUUUUAUAGGUUUCUCUGACAUUACAGUACUGGCUCCCUGUUACUUUUUGUUCCUUGACUAAUAGAAAUUGGAUUUACGGUAUUGGUUGAAUUUUUCAUUGGAUUUGUCAGUUAAACUUAAGAUUAUGUUGAUAGUUUCUUCUGUAUGCUCUUUUUUUUACCAGCCAUUGGCCUAUAAAGCAUCUGGCAUCACAAUGAUACUGACAAAUAUGGUGUUUAUUACUGGAGGUUAUGAGAUCUUCAGCACUGCAAAAGAACAAUAAUAUAUUUGAGAACCAUAAUGAUCACGUUGAAUAAUUCUUAGCUGAUGCUGUGUUGUUUCAUUAAAAUUCCCAUUAUAAACAAGUUCAUUGAAUUAACAUUGUGUAGAACAAUAACAGGAUGUGGAAGACUAAUUGCUUCCUCUGGUGAGUUGUCGCGUAUUUAAUCGAUGUUGUGGUUCUCUGCUUCGAUCUAGUGGACGAUAUAAAGAAC
Gasterosteus aculeatus aculeatus (three-spined stickleback) is the source of this 1531-nucleotide long non-coding RNA. The record is from Ensembl. Lineage: Eukaryota; Metazoa; Chordata; Actinopteri; Perciformes; Gasterosteidae.